UCGGUGCUGGGCCAGGUGAACCGUCCCGGCCGCUAUCCGGUGGACGGCAAGCGCAGCCUGAUGGACAUGCUGGCCCAGGCCGGCGGCAUCGGCCC
RNAcentral lists this transfer RNA (95 nucleotides) under compost metagenome. Its description in RNAcentral is "tRNA-Ser". The record is from RNAcentral.